GGCCAAUCAAUCUUUAGAAUCUUAUUUACGUUGUUUUAUUGAUGCCCAUCUGUCUAACUGGUAUGAACUCUUACCCAUGGCUGAGUUUGCCAGAAAUAAUGCGACUCAUGAAUCCUCUAAUCAUAGUCCAUUUUUUGUAAAUCAGGGUUAUCACCCCACUGUUUUACCUUCUGAAUUUUCAGACACUGAUAUUCCUGCCUUGGAUUCUAUUCAUGACAUUUGGGAUUCCGUUCAUACAGCAUUACAGAAGGCAUCAAAACGUGCUAAAAUCCAAGCCGACAAGAGACGGGGUGCCAAUCCUGUCUAUCAACCAGGAGACAAGGUGUGGUUAUCCACACGUCAUGUCAAACUCAAGGUUCCUUCCAUGAAAUUUGCCCCUCGGUACAUAGGUCCUUUUCGGGUCCUGAUCAGCCACUUUAGUGUAUCGAGAGG
Pelobates cultripes (western spadefoot toad) is the source of this 432-nucleotide non-coding RNA. The record is from the annotation of a GenBank genome assembly. NCBI's taxonomy places the organism in Eukaryota, Metazoa, Chordata, Amphibia, Anura, Pelobatidae.